CUAGCGCCGACUUAUAACCAUUUGGGAUAUGAACUCUAACUUUAAAAAAGGUUAAACAAAAUUAGGACAAGAAGGCUCCUUUCAGCGAGGUUGACAGGAACACUUUUAAUAUUCCUCUAGGCGGCCUUAUUCUUGAGUUAAACAUAGAGAUCAAAGAGGAGACAAAAAGCAAAAUUUGGAGGGCUCUCUUUAACUAUAUCCUUUCUGGAUAAUACAAGCAUUUGCCUUGUGGGAGUGAGGUUUACACUGUAAGUUAUGGGCGUUUUCUGGUGACUCCAGGGAAUCUCACUGUAGAUAUUCUAGACCCCCCACUACAUGAUGAUAAAUAGGCGAAAAAUAAGAAAAAGAGGUCGUGACUUCAACUAAAGUUUGAAGGGUAUUCGCCUCAUACUGAGGGUGGGGGGUUUACAAACUUUUGCGAAACAAAUUCAGAAGCGCGACUUGGACGGCACCACGCCCAGAAGUUUACUCUUUGUAGCAUUCGAUGCUCUUCUUCUGAGGAUUAAUUUUACCAUCUCAAAAUAUAUAUUCCAAAAGGCUUCUGGCGUGUUAUAGCCGAACUUGCUUAAAAAAGCUUCUUUCUCCAUGUGUAAAAUUUUUAGAAUCGUAAAAAACGGCUUCAGGUAGUUCAUUUUUUAACCAACUUUUCUUCAGUUCUUCAUAGCAUUAUAUUGGCAAAAAAAAAAUAUAGCUGAAGUCUUUCGAUAUUGCAGCAAACAUAUUUUUUUUUGGAUCCCCACGGAGUGCAUCAGUAGUAAACACUUUUUCA
This is a long non-coding RNA of Zophobas morio, 769 nucleotides long. RefSeq lists it as uncharacterized. NCBI's taxonomy places the organism in Eukaryota, Metazoa, Arthropoda, Insecta, Coleoptera, Tenebrionidae. The record is from RefSeq and is a predicted model, not a curated record. The transcript has 3 exons.